AGUACCUAACAGGGAAGCGCCAUCGGGGAAGGAAAGGAAGAAGUCUUUCAUCUCUCAUCGCUAGGCCUAGAAUGAGCCCUCCACCUCUGCACACUCGCCAAGUCCUUCAUGGCAUUCUGAAGGUUAUCCUUGGGCACCCCUCACCUUGCCCUCCUGCCUCACCUCUAUGGGGGCUGGGAGCUGUGUCUCUCGAUGCCUUGGACCAUCUCUGCCACCUGGUUGCACCUUCCGAAUAGCCUCUCGAACCACCCGGCCUUUGAGCUGCUGGAUAAAGCGACAGAUCUGGGGAGGAAGACAGGCUUUCUAUGAGCUCAGAAACAGAGGCCUUGUUGUUUCCAGGCACUGCUACUGCUCCCUACCCUGGACUAGCCCAGUAUUGUGCAUUCCCAAAACUGCUGGGACUUGAGCCAAGGCCUCAGCAUGUGACCAGCUACCUAAUGAAAAUGUAAAAGCUAGGCCUAUUCUUGCUUCUUCCUGGGGCUGUAGUUUGCUCUUAUAAUGAGAACUAGCCUAUUCACUUCCACUCCACCCCAUUUCCUAGACUCUCACUUCGUACUCACUCUGGUUCCACCCAAAUUCACUUCUUUUGUUUGUUUUUGUUAACUUUUUUGAGACAGGGCCUCUCUAAACAGCACCUGCUGUCCUGAAACUAUGUAGACAGGGCUAGCCUUGAACUCAAAGAGGUCCACUAGUGAAAGGAUCCCAGGUGCUGAGAUUAAAGGUGUAUACCACCAUUCCCGACUACCAACUCUACCUUAAUUCAUCCUCUAUUCUCACUUCCACUCACCCCCACUCUGUUAUGCUCAGCCCUCCGAUUUUUCCCGCCCACACUCUACAGCUUCACAACUCUCCACAGGCUCACUCCACCCAGUUGUCACACCCCGUCCCCAGCUUUCCCACUCACAUACCACCUCUUCAUGCUCCACUUCCAGUGUGCUUCACUCACAGAGACCCACAGUCCAGCAGGCAGUCCCGCCCCCAAACCCCCCCACCCCCUGCGCCACAGCUUCCCCAGAGCCUCACUCUAAACUUCGUUGUCACCCCGCCCCUAUACAGUCAAUAUUCCUCCGCAUCUCCAUAACCCCGCCUCGAAUCCCACCCACAUCCCCGCCCUAAAACUCCAUCUUUCACGCAUAUCCGGUGCGCCAAUGACUUCCGCGACCGUCAACAGCCCCGGAGCUCCACCUUAGCUCGGCCAUUCGGCUUCCCGGCCCCGCCCCCAGCACGGGACACCACCUCGGCCUCGCUCCGGCCUCGCAGCUCCUUGGCCAGCUCCUUGGCGUCUGGCUCCGGCUGGCCGCGCCGAGCCUGGAGUAGUCUCAGUAGGUGCCGCAUCUCGCGGGGGCUCCAAGCUGUGGGGCCGGUAGCUUCACCUGUGUACCGUGCGGGGACCUUCCGCCGUCUCUGCGGUGGCUUCAUGCCGGAACUCUAUGGAGCUCUUUUCUGGUGGGCGGGGCUACGGAGGCCGAAGCGGUCAGACAGAGCACUAUGCGUUUGAUUUUAUAGAGGGGGCGUGGCUCGACCAAGACUGAGGAGGGCAGAGGGACCAGAGUUUUAUCUGCGUUUUAUGUCACUCAUGAGCUGCAGCAAAAAACUUUAAGCCCUAAAUUUCCUAACUACGUCAUGAAACCCA
Non-coding RNA from Rattus norvegicus (Norway rat), 1633 nucleotides. NCBI's taxonomy places the organism in Eukaryota, Metazoa, Chordata, Mammalia, Rodentia, Muridae. The record is from RefSeq and is a predicted model, not a curated record.